This is a long non-coding RNA of Panicum virgatum (switchgrass), 476 nucleotides long. RefSeq lists it as uncharacterized. The record is from RefSeq and is a predicted model, not a curated record. The transcript has 2 exons. Lineage: Eukaryota; Viridiplantae; Streptophyta; Magnoliopsida; Poales; Poaceae.
AGUGGAGUGGAUCGAAUCAUGCAGAUUCACAUUGGAUGGAGAUAUAUUGGGGUUACAAUCAUGUAGGAAGUCCUGGAGUGUGGAGCGUCAUCGGUCAAGACUCCCUCUCCUCCGUUUCGCUGAUAUUCCAGAGAUGACUUGUAACCGCUGGGAAAGUUGAAUAACUCAUUUGUCCAAAGUCUUCCUUUAUGCAUUGUGCAUUUAAAUGAACACCACCAUGUACUGCAGGUCAAUAAGUUUGACAGUUUUUCAUGCACUGUCGAGCUACCAAGAUUCAUUGCUUGUCUUUGAUUUAAAUGAACAUAGGCCAUGUUCACAGUUUCACUUUUUCAUCCACCAGUUUGUAUGUGUAUGUUGGUCGUUGAUUUAAACUAUGAGCAAAGCUUGUGUUUUGAUGUUGUAUACUUCUGUAACUACUAUAUGAUUUAUUUAUGCUACAAAAAGUUAAUUUGCUACAUAAUAACUAUUUCUCUUCU